GAUCGGAUCAAGCGCAUGAAGGGCGUCUGGUGGAUGCCUUGGCGGCAAGAGGCGAUGAAGGACGUGAUACUCUGCGAUAAGCCCUGGGGAGCUGAUAAUAGGCUUUGAUCCAGGGAUCUCCGAAUGGGGCAACCCACCUGAUACUCGGUUAUUGAGAGCCGCGAGGUUCUCAUUAAUUGGGUAAACCAGGUACUUUUGACCUGAAUCCAUAGGGUUAAAAGAGCGAACCCGGGGAACUGAAACAUCUCAGUACCCGGAGGAAAGGAAAUCAACCGAGACUCCGUUAGUAGUGGCGAGCGAACGCGGACCAGCCGAGCGCGAAGAGUGAGUGGAACCAGUUGGAAAGCUGGGCGAUAUGGGUGACAGCCCCGUACACGAAGCUCUGAGCGACGUAUUAAGUAGGGCGGGACACGUGCAAUCCUGUCUGAAGAUCGGGGGACCACCCUCGAAGGCUAAGUACUCCUUGCUGACCGAUAGCGAACCAGUACCGUGAGGGAAAGGUGAAAAGCACCCCGACAAGGGGAGUGAAACAGACCCUGAAACCGGACGCCUACAAACAGUCGGAGCUCUCUUCGGAGGGUGACGGCGUACCUUUUGUAUAAUGGGUCAGCGACUUGGUCUCACGAGCAAGCUUAAGCCGAUAGGUGUAGGCGCAGCGAAAGCGAGUCUGAAUAGGGCGACUGAGUUCGUGGGAUCAGACCCGAAACCGAGUGAUCUAGGCAUGUGCAGGAUGAAGGUGGGGUAACACGCACUGGAGGUCCGAACCCACACCUGUUGAAAAAGGUCGGGAUGAGUUGUGCCUAGGGGUGAAAGGCCAAUCAAACUCGGAGAUAGCUGGUUCUCCGCGAAAUCUAUUUAGGUAGAGCGUCGAUCGAAUACCCCCGGGGGUAGAGCACUGGAUGGGUAAUGGGGCCCCACAGGCUUACUGAUCCUAACCAAACUCCGAAUACCCGGGAGUACUGAUCGGCAGACACACGGCGGGUGCUAACGUCCGUCGUGGAGAGGGAAACAACCCUGACCUACAGCUAAGGCCCCUAAUUCAUGGCUAAGUGGGAAAGCAGGUGGGACGACCAAAACAACCAGGAUGUUGGCUUAGAAGCAGCCAUCAUUUAAAGAAAGCGUAACAGCUCACUGGUCUAGACAAGUUGUCCUGCGGCGAAGAUGUACCGGGGCUCAAGCCAUGAGCCGAAGCUCGGAACUGCGCAAGCAGUGGUAGCGGAGCGUAGUGUUCAUAAACUCUGACCUCUUUAUCGCCCUUCGGGGUGAUGCGGAGGCCAUGGGUUUUGCUGAGAAGCGUCCCUGUGAGGGGGCGUGGAGCGAUCACUAGCGAGAAUGAUGACAUGAGUAGCGACAAACAGGGUGAGAGACCCUGUCGCCGAAAGUCCAAGGGUUCCUGCUUAAAGCUAAUCUGAGC
RNAcentral lists this ribosomal RNA (1414 nucleotides) under Gammaproteobacteria bacterium. RNAcentral's name for it is "partial 23S ribosomal RNA". It matches the Rfam family "Bacterial large subunit ribosomal RNA", at positions 1 to 1375 of the family's 2925-position model. Lineage: Bacteria; Pseudomonadati; Pseudomonadota; Gammaproteobacteria. The record is from RNAcentral.